Molecule: long non-coding RNA, 772 nt
Filed under: Homo sapiens (human)
Lineage: Eukaryota; Metazoa; Chordata; Mammalia; Primates; Hominidae
Description: long non-coding RNA NONHSAT232501
Source: RNAcentral
AUAAAAGCCAGCUUCAAGACCAGCUUGGCCAACGUGGUGAAACCCUAUGUCUACUGAAAAUACAAAAAAGGCAGGUGUGGCAGUGAGUGCCUGUGAUUCCAGCUUACUUGGGAGGCUGAGGCAGGAGAAUCCCUUGAACCUACGAAGCAGAGGUUGCAGUGAUCUGAGAUACUGCCACUGUACUCCAGCUGGGGCGACAGCAAGACUCAAAAAAGAAGUUAUUGGGAGAUGGAAGUAUUUUGCAUAUGUAGAUUUGCUUAUAAGUUAACUUUAAAAGUACUGGUUUGUGGGUGAUGUGUAAGGUAACGGAAUGGGAGAAUUACUGGAACACCAGGAAAGGAAUUUUAAAAGGUGGGAGUGAUGGGGUAACUGAAAGGAUGCUUUCAGUGCAUAGGUCUAUAUAAAUGCACAUUGAGCUGCAUAGACAGUCAUGGGAUCAAAUUUUAAGAGGAUGUGGAAGGUAAAAAAAGGCAUAGCUACCAAGGUGUGGAAAAAGAAUUAGUGGUUAGAGAGUGAGCUAUUCGUUGAAACAAUUGCGUUCUUGAAACAAUUCUUGCUGGUAAAAUGUCACAUUUUAUGUGACUACAGGUGGAGGAUUGGCACAUAACCUAACCAGUGGGGGAAACAAUUGACCUCUGGAUUUGUCCAAGUGUAUAGUAGCAUUUGCCCAAUCGAAUGGUCCUGGUAAGGUGUUAAUGUUGACUAGAACCAAAGGUGGAAGUUGCAGGGAAACUGGUUUAGUACAAGGGUGGACACCAGGCAGUCAUCCAGA